This is a long non-coding RNA of Olea europaea var. sylvestris, 1876 nucleotides long. RefSeq lists it as uncharacterized. The transcript has 2 exons. NCBI's taxonomy places the organism in Eukaryota, Viridiplantae, Streptophyta, Magnoliopsida, Lamiales, Oleaceae. The record is from RefSeq and is a predicted model, not a curated record.
UGGGUUUAUGAAAUAUAUACUUAUUCUUUGAUUUAUUGGGAUUAUAUGGUGUUAAUCACUUAAAUUAAGAAAUUGGGGUUGAUUUCUCCAUUUUUAAGCAAGUAUUAUAUGCAAUUUUUGGACAAAAUCCUAUUCAUGCGCUGUUUUUGAAAAUCUGCCAGAAUAGCGCUAUUUCUGUCAAACGUUUUGAUACCAGAUUUUAAUAUUAUGGGAUUUUAGUGCUGUUUUUGUCAAAGUUCUUAUUUUCAGAUUUUUAAAGGUUUGAAUGAAGUUAUAUGACAAAUAUUGAAGUUUAUGUAUUUGACUAAAUUCGGUAUAGGGGAUGCAUACGAAUAAGGUAGUGAUGUUAAGGAAGUGCAAGUAAUUUAAUGAAUUUGAUAAUGAAUGGUAAUUAAUUGAUAAAUCGUUAGAGAGAAGAAAAUUUGGAGAAUUCAUUCAAAUAUCGAGAAAUGGAGAUUCAAGAGAAAAUUUGAAAGUUGAGAAAUUAGGUGGUGACUUUGCAUUAGUUUAAUUGUCAUAUUUUAAUUUGAGUUAUUAUACUGUUAUUUCAGGUAAUGACGUAGAAGUUUGGAGAUGCUGGUUAAUUUAGCCAGAUUUUUAUCCAUAGAGCAAUGAGUGGAUAUAAACUUAUUUUUCAGAAAUUAAUAUUUAUUAAAUUUACGUUAGAUUAGAAAAUUUUCUUUUUCAUACAAUUGAUUUGACAGCAUGAUAUUUAAAAUAAAGUGGAUUUAUAAUAAGUUGUUUUUAAAGUUAAAUUCAGUCCAAUUAAAUCAUUUCAAUAGCAUGUUCCCUUCGUAUUACAUGUUUUAUAUAGCUAAAGUUUUUCUAAAUAUCACCAGAAAGUACCCGGUGAUUUUACCUCAAUCUGCACUAGCGUAAAUUUAUUUCCACAGUGACUAAUUAUGGUGAUUUUACCCGCUCUAUACUAUUGUGAAUAUGUUUCCAUAGUGUAUGACCAGAUUAUCAAAUUAUCAGAUGUCUUUGGGACCACUCUCGUACACACAUAGGCUUUCAGCCGUGUACUAGGGCGAUUAGCGUUUGGGGCAGCUCUGCGUACAUAUGACCAGAUUAUCAGAUUACCAGAUUAUCAGAAUAUCAGAUUUAAAUGGCUCUGCCUUGUACAUCGAGAUUACUCUGUACAUAAACAAAAAGCAGAUGAAUUGAGCAGCUUUGGAGCCUGUCAAACCACCAAAUUGAGCCACUCGCCAUAGGUUGUAUGGCAUCCUUUAUCAGAUUAUACAUUAUGUGUUCUUUUGGGAUAUAUAUAGUUUAAAUCAGAAAAGUUCAUUAUGGGCUCAUUUGAUAUUUGGUAUCUUUAGUAUAUUUGAGGAUUGUUAUUUGUAAAGCAAUUAGAUUUUCCAGCAUUUUAUUUGAAUAAUUUGUAUUUUCUGGGACUGGCAUACCCUGAUUUAUAUUAUAGGUAUAGAUUUGAGGAAAAUUGAUUAUUGUUCAGGCAAUUUUAGUUUGUAUUUCAGGGAAAAUUUUAUCAAAAUUUUGUUAAAAAUAUUUUUCAGUUAAAUAAGUGAAGGUUGCCUUAGUGGUGGGUCCGACGUUCAGCUAGUAUCUACCAUCAGCGCGCGACACAUGUCGAGUCCACUAAGGAGAUUCGGGACGGGUAGUGUCAAUCUUCCUGCCAUAGUAGAUCUGGAAACUCUUUCAAGGCCUUGUUCUCCACAUUUUGAUAGUCCUUUGUAUUCCUUUACCACCUUUAAUCGUUCUAUGUUUUUUUUGUUUUCCUUCCAAAUUGUCCUUCACAAUUAACUUGUUUGUCUGAAACCAUAACUUUUUGUUGGUCACCCAGAAACUACGAUAAACUGUUAGCAUUUAAUGCUUACUGAAUUGGAGUUUUAUAAAUCUGCACUCUGAUUCUUGAUAA